This 436-nucleotide ribosomal RNA is filed under the name uncultured bacterium. RNAcentral describes it as "bacterial SSU rRNA". It matches the Rfam family "Bacterial small subunit ribosomal RNA", at positions 956 to 1392 of the family's 1533-position model. The record is from RNAcentral.
UGAACGCGAAGAACCUUACCAGGUCUUGACAUCCUUUGAAGCUUUUAGAGAUAGAAGUGUUCUCUUCGGAGACAAAGUGACAGGUGGUGCAUGGUCGUCGUCAGCUCGUGUCGUGAGAUGUUGGGUUAAGUCCCGCAACGAGCGCAACCCUUAUUGUUAGUUGCCAGCAUUCAGUUGGGCACUCUAGCGAGACUGCCGGUGACAAACCGGAGGAAGGCGGGGACGACGUCAGAUCAUCAUGCCCCUUAUGACCUGGGCUACACACGUGCUACAAUGGCGUAUACAACGAGUUGCCAACCUGCGAAGGUGAGCUAAUCUCUUAAAGUACGUCUCAGUUCGGACUGCAGUCUGCAACUCGACUGCACGAAGUCGGAAUCGCUAGUAAUCGCGGAUCAGCACGCCGCGGUGAAUACGUUCCCGGGUCUUGUACACACCG